Long non-coding RNA from Catharus ustulatus (Swainson's thrush), 7558 nucleotides. RefSeq lists it as uncharacterized. The transcript has 4 exons. The record is from RefSeq and is a predicted model, not a curated record. NCBI's taxonomy places the organism in Eukaryota, Metazoa, Chordata, Aves, Passeriformes, Turdidae.
AUAGUCAGAAAAAUUGUGGAAUUAAAUGUCCCAACAUGGUUAAAUAAUUGGCAGCUUGAAUGCCAGUUGUUUGUCAAGAAAUAGGAAAAAACCCAGCUCUUUGAUAAAAUAGACUGGGCAACUUGUUUGGCUGCUGCUUUGCAAAUGUAUUAUCUUUGGGAAGGUUGUUGGUUUAAUGACUUCUUAAAAUACUUUCUCUUCCUAUCAAGUCUUCCAGCCUUCUCUUUUUUCUUUUCCUUACUCCCUUUUGUGAUAUGUAGGGAGAUGGAGUGUUUAGCUCCAGAAAAAUUUAGCUUAAACUGCAUUUUUUAUACAGUCUUUAUUUUUUACUGGGGUUUGUUUGCAUUUAACACUCUCUCAUGGGGAGUUGUAGUCUCUAAAAAGUAGUAGUGUUCAUUAUGCUAUUUUUUUCUCUUUUCAGCCAGAAUGGACAUUUUUAGCAGGACUUGAACUGCUUUACCAGAAUAAUUUCACUUUUGGAAAUCAAUGCUGCUUUUUUGCUGGUCUCUUUACCGGCACCAGCUGUGUUGUAACUACUUGUAAAUACAGCACGGAGCUUGUGAUACAGUGAGUGCAAUUUCAGGUGUCUGGUGUAUCAGGAGAAUGUGUGACCAGUAUCAGGAAAGUGUCUUAAAAACUUCAAAUUGGGGAAUUUUCUAAUAUCUAUUUUCCAGGUAUGCAUUUGCAGCACAGUCCCUCCCUAGGCAUCUGUGACCACGGUUCCAGUUCUGGAUCAGAUGGCCCCUCACAACCCACCUCCCAUCCACAAAACUGGAUGUACCCAAUUGCUUGCCAUGUUUCCAUGCACCAUCUGGCCUGAAAAAAGCCCUGGAUCACCUGGCUGUAUUGCCAGAAUCUUUUUUUCUGGUGAGAAAUGCACGAUUGCUGCAACAGGGAUUUAAAAAAUCAGCACUUCGUUUGGAGGAAAGCAGGCUCUGAAUAGCCAUUAGGAAAGCCCUGUGGCAAUUCUUGACCUGUCAGCAGCUACUUUGGUUUUCCAGAUUUCUCAGUUGCGUGAAAACUACAUAUCAUGAGACUGCUUUUCUUUAAAUUCAGUGAAAUACAGUAAUUCAGGCAACUCUUGAGCUGUAGGUACUUGGAGGUAUUUCCUCUGUAUGAGUGUGACAAAGUAGGACUUGAAAUGUUAAUACUAGAUUUCCAAAUAACUUUGGAAGGGCCUUUUGUCUGUAAUGUGCUAGUCUGUCUUUUCUCUUUGUCUUAGAAGGAUCAUCGUUUUGAAGAUUUAAAAAAAAAAAAAAAAAAGCCACAUUAAAAAAUUGUCAGGUUAUGUAACAGAGCUUUUUGCUCUAUAUCGAGGCAGGGUAGCCUCUUAAAACUAAGAAAUAACACUGACAGACAGUAAGAGCUGCCAAGGGGUAGCAGUUUUUUUCUCUGGAGAUUCACAUUCAACUAAGAUAUCAAAAAGUACUUGAAAUUUAUUUCAAUCAGUAAGUUAUUUGCAGACGUAUUUGUAGAUGUUACAGACAGAUUCUCAGGGAUGCAUGAUCGCUUUCUGUCACAAAACUAAUGGCACAAAGGCAUCACUGCAGCAAAGGUUGUGUGUAGCCCUAGGCUGUUCACCUUUCUUUGUGAAGUGGCUGUGAAAUAGGUGAGGGUUAGGUGCUUGUAAACAUCUGUCCACCCAUUCCUGUUUCCAGUUUACUCCAGAGCAGAUCUCUCAGUAUAGGCUUCCACAGCUCUGCUUCAUCUGCCCACCCCGCUCCAAUCCUGACAGUUCACGAGGUGAAUUCAGAACUGUUUUUAUUAAAGUUGUUCUAAUUUGUAUUAAUUAGAUCUGUUCAACCUUCUACCUGUCUCUUCAGUCUCGUGGGUGACCUGUUAGUAGUAAAACAGUUAACGUCAUUUGGCCAUCGAUACACUUCUUGUUUUUCUAUAGGUGAGGAGACCUAGUUUCCACUUGUUAAUGGUUUUAUUUCAGCAGUUUGGCUCUGUCAAGUAGCUGACAGCCAUUGAGAUAUAUCUAUAGUCUCCUGGUAUUAUUCAUGAUUUCCUAGCUAUUGUCACUUUUAAUUCUUUGUAUCACAACAUUUGUUUGACACCAAUUAUUUUGGAACAUACACAUCCUCACUUGUAAACUUCAUGCAUCAGAAACAUCAAUUAUAUUCACCAUUUUUCAGUGGGGUAACAAAGGAUGACAUUUAGAAUUAAUGUUUUCUUGGAUUUAAGGCAAUGACUAUUAUCUUUCGUGAAGAUAUUUUAUUAGGAAAUUCUAAUUAAGUUGCAGUUAUUAUCUAUUCAUCUUCUCCCACCCCUACUCAGGAACUAAUUAUAUUAAGCAAAUUGAGGUUAAUAAACUGCUAAGGCAUCUUCUUUGCUAGUUUUCCUUUUGCCAUUACAACCUGAAAGCAUAAAAUAUAGCACUGCAUUUUAAUACAAAUAUGUUCUGAAUAUCUUGUUUUGCUUUUAGACAAACCCUUUCAGCAUGGAAGUGUAGUUCAGUGAAGUAUUACAUGUAAAAGGAAAGGCUUUAUUGGAGCAUUUGGUUGGAAACUAAAAUCUGCCUGCCCAUUUGGUUGGAAACUAAAAUCUGUCUGCCCGCUGAUGAGCUUUUGGUCUUUCUGAUACAGCUGCCUGCUUGGGUGAAAGCAGUCCCAAUAGGAGAGGCUGGAGGAGGGCAGGUGCUGAUCUCCCCAGACUGCACAGAGUGGCAGGGCCCUGGAUGCAGGAAUAGUCCUUGAUGGCCCUGACCAGACUGUGCAGCCUGCACCCACCGAUGCCAGGUGCCGUUCCUGGGAUCACAGGGCUGUGCUCAAGCUGGAGAGGUCCCUGCCCUGCCACCUCCGCUGCUGUGCUGAGCUCUCAGCUCCCUCCUCCCGGGACCUCCUGCUCUGUGACCCUUGUUGCUCGAGUCUAAUUCACUGGCUGCUGUCAUUUUCCACAGAGAGUCUGUUUGCCUCCACUUGCAUAUGCUCAAUGAAGUUAUCCCAUGUCUUUGGACUAGCUUUGCAGGGAUAUGUUAAGUCCCAAGCUGAAUGCCCCGUGUCUUUACCACAAUAGGCAAUAGACAUUUUCUGGACAAAACCAGUAAACUUAAGCAACUUUUAUUGAACUCAUCAUGCUUCAUAUAAGUUAUAUUUUAAAAUAAUAUACAAUGUAAUCUGGGAAAUCUCGUAACUGAACUUCUGCAGUUUUGUGAUCCAAUUAAAACAUUCCCUGAACCCACACAUCCCAUUGCCAAAAAUUUCUUAUGCUUUAAACCUUUGUACAUAAGUAACAAUUUGUCUUCAGCUGCAUCUUCUAUUGGUACCUCUGAAAUAGGUGUAAGCUUGCCUGACUUUUUAAAUUAGGAAAUGGUAUAAAUUGACAGCCUCAAGCUGUCACUGCACAUAGAAACACAGAGGUGUGUAUCUAUUAAUUCUGCAGAAGGAGCACGUUAAAUUCCCACUGUUCAUAAUCUCCUCUUGGAACUAAUACUGGCUAAUGACUUUAAUGGUAUCACACUUGGCAAAGAUUAAACACAUCUUUCAUCCUUUCCUAAAGCUAUUUCUGUUUUAAAGCAUUGUAGAUAGGAGACAAAGUGGACAAAGAGUGAUAUGUGUUGAAUUUAAGAGAUUACAGUAAAAAUGAGUGGGCUACGCUGGCAAAUCUGAUGGAAGUUGUCCAGUGUUUCUUCACUGGCAAAAAGUUAUUCCCUCAAGUCUGACAACCUAAUAGUUUUGAUGACACCCUGAUAGUUUUUUGAGUUCGGGCACAAUAAGGGGUGCUGAAAAGCUGUUCUCAUACUGUGACAGUGAAAAAUUUGCUGGAUUUUAAGGCCAGUGCAACUUUGCCAACAAAUGAAGUCUUUGGAGGAUGUGCAUGGGUGAGAGACCUCUGCUCUCUGGACUGGCUGCUCACCAAAGGACAGGGCAAUACUUAGAUUCCCCAGCUGUACAAUUUUAACUUGGUCUCUUAACUGGAUCCAGUGUGCUGAAAUGUCCCUGAAAUUUAGGCUUUGUAUCUUGCUAACCUCAGUAUUCCUUUAUGACAGUGCAGAAGAGCUCUAAUGUGGUGGUCUUAUUCAAGCCACAAGCAAACACAAGAUAUGAACUAUUUUAAAAAGAAUAUUCUUUGCCUUUCUGCUUUAAGAAUAUGCAUGCAGUAAAUAUUACUAUUUAUCCAUAAAUAAGAUUUAUGUUGCGGAAAAUUUCCUUCCAUAAGUGGCCUGCCUGGAGGGGUCCUUUUUGCCAGUGCUCUGUAGCUAUGCCUCACUUGGCUGCUAUUUUUCAUGCUUUGAAGUUGGCCUUUUCCAUUUCACCUUGCUGAAGAUUCUGCUGUCCCCAAAUGCUGCUGGUCAGAGAGAUUUGCAAGUGCCUUUGGAAAUCUGUGUUAUAGCUUAAAUUUUAAUUUAUAUUCAUUACCAUUUUUAUCUGGGCACAGUUUAGCCUAGCAUUGUAAAUGUUAUUAUCUGCUGGCUUUAACUGCCAGGGUUUGUACAAAAAUGUUGCUGUUUCACUAAUUAAACUGUGUCCCAGUGCACAGCAUCAGGCCUUGGGCACUUCUGCUAAUUGCACUGAGCUUUCUACCUGCUACUUUAUUUGGAUAAAUAUUAUCAAAAGGCUUUGAUAAUUAACAACCCUUCACAAAAUGUGCUUGUCAUCUGUCACUAUCCUCUCUGACUGCAUGUUUCCUCACCAGGAGGUUGAAGUGUUAUUCCUUAUAACAGCAUAUUAACAUGCCAAGCAGGGCAACUGAAAGAGGGAAAAAUGAAGCUGAAGAUUUUGGAGCUCUGGAAGUAAAGCAGAACCAUGUCAUAGCCAGAGCACUGGGCUGGCUCUGGGUGGGAGCAUCUUCAGAUUUCAGCUCCGUCCUUAUGUGAUGUAUGGAUCAUUUUGCUUCUGUGUAAGAAAAAAUCAAGCACUGGAAGGAGCAAUGAUCCAUGUUGAGAACAAAAAGGAGGGAGCAUCUUCCAACCUGCUUUACUACGUGGGAAUGACAAUGGCAUGACAGCUAUUAUCAUUCACUGAGGGCACAGAGGCUGGCUCUGUGGAGGCACACUGCUGAGGUGAAAUCUGCUCCAUUAUUUUCAAUAAGAGCAUAAACAGGUGGGUAUCUUCGAAACAAUCAUCAACACAGCGCUGGAUUAACUCCUGUACAAUGCCCUGCUGUACUUACAGCAGCUUUGGAUGUGUGCUUCUGUAACAGAUGUCCCCACGUUUAACAAGUGUCCCCACCUGCAGCAUGGCCAGUGGCCCUGACCUGCUCACACUGCGGCAGGAGAAUCGCAGGCACGGCAGUAAAUUGGCAUAAUUCCUCAGGCUCCUCUCUUGGCUCAGCCCAAGGUUUGUGAAAUUGAUGUCAUCCUUUGUCAAACAGCUUCCACACCAAUAAACAGGAGCAAAAAUAACUCCUGUCUCCUGCCUGCUGGCUGAUUAAGGUUUUUAGGGUCAGGAUUCUCUCUUAGUAGCUGUCCUAUAACUGCUACGGUACAGUCUGGUCUCAGUCAAGCCCUUUCAGGGCUGUUUUUGUACCAGUGAGUACAAUCCAGGUUUGGGGCUGAAUGGCCCAUUAUAUCCCAGUCACAUUCCUAAGCGGCAGCCAAGGCUCCCUGCCUGGUAAAGAAAAUAUACAGCAGCAAGUUUUAUGACUUACUGAGGCUACAGAUAGAAUGCAAGGUGGCAUGUCUUUCUUAAGGUACAUUCAUUUUCAUCAAAGUUCACUGCAAUUUGAAGUAAAAAGGUUGUCAAUUUUCCUUAUUGAAAAGCACAGAGAAUCAGAGAAUAUCUGAGUCGGAAGGGACCCGUCAGGAUCAUUGAGUCCUACUCCUGGGCUUACACAGGACACCCCAAAAAUCCCACCAUGUGCCAGAGAGCAUUGUCCAAAUGCUUCUCGUACUCAGGCUUGGUGCUUUCACCACUUACCUGGGGACCCUGUUCCAGAGGCCUCACCUCCCGGAGAAGGUGUGUUUCAUAGCAUGAGGGAGCUCUCUCAUCUGCUGCUGUGAGUGUCACUGCAGGGGCUGACAGCUCACUGACUCAGACCUGCAGUUCAGCAGCCAGCCCCUGUUCAUGUGCCCAGCACUGCUGCUGGCAGGACCUGGAUGGGAGCCCAGGAUCCCCAUGGGAAAACACAUUUGGAGAGAGGGGCAGAAGAGGAGAAGGACCCAUGGAAGAUGGAGGGCUCAGUAUCACAGUCCAGCAGCCACAGGAUUAAUGCUCAGCUGCUUUUUGUCUUGCAUGAAAUACCCAAGAGAUGGGAGUUUGGGAACCGAAUGGUGACUCUGAGUGAGUGGUACUGGCACAGUGAAAUCAGUUGUGUCAGUGGAUUUGAGCACAGCUGGAGCCAUCAGCUGGGUGCUGGGGAAAGGGAAGGGGAAGGAAUAUGGGUCUGAUCAUGGCCCUGGGGACACUGCCCUGUGCUGAUGUGCAGGGGGCAGGGAGGCAGUGGGACAGGCACAGCCUGCCAGCACAGUGGCUUCAGAGCAUUGGGACACCAGUGCCUAAGGGCUGAAAGCCUCGUGGUGGAACAAGAACCUACCUGGGUCCUGCAUGAUCCGGACAGAGCAGAUACCACUGUCCUCUGUUAUGGAUCUGCUCAUUUACCUCUGGACUCAUGGUUUUGAGACAGCUUGGCCUGAACCUGAUGUACCAUAUGAACUGAAGUAACUUGUAUGAUAUUAACGCAGUUGGGUCUUGGAAUAAUUUCUGUCAGAUAUUUCAGAUAUUUAUUGUCUGCAUGCUGGUUGCUGAUACUCACCUUCCUUAGACCCAAGCGAGCUGCAAGAAGCCUGUAAUCCUUUUCUCUCAGCACAUCAGUGUAAAGCCUCAUGAAUCUCUAUUAAAUUUGAGAGAGAACACGAAGCUAGUUUGCAGCUGCCUUGUUGAUUUUAUAUUUCCUCUCAUUUCAGUGCCUUGCCAUGAAGCUGAGAAUUAAAUGGCUAAUAAGGCAUCUGCUCCAAGCAGGAGUCUCAAGAUUGUGACAAAAACAGCUUACAUCAAGGUUUGGGUUAUUGGUUUUUCUUGCCAUCAUAUAAUCAUGUUAUUAAAAUCAUUAGGGAUACCUGAUUAAGGGUAGUGACUGUCAAAGGCAGCUCAGCUGGCAGAGCAGGUAAGUAGGAGUCUCCUGGACUUAGCUGGGUGCUGGAGCUGUGUCUGGGAGGUGGCUGGAGCUGUGGGGCUGGGCAGCGUCCACAGGCAAAGUGCUGUGGAGGCACAGGGGCCCAGCUGGCUUCUGCUCUCUGCAUAACCUGUGAUGGAUAAGCUGAAAUCCUUGAAGAAAUGGACUCUGAAAGAAACAUGAAUGUGCUCUGUUUUGGGAUUGCAGAUGGAAAAUGCACUAAAACACCUCCUGGUCUCCAUCUGGAAGAGCAGAGCCCAAAGGGAAAGGAACCCUCUCUGCAAGCAGGAGGCAGGGUCAGACCGACUGUCAGACAGGGAGUUGGGCGUGGGCCUGGGAAGUGGCAGCAGUCCUGUGGCAUUCUGCACUUAUCCCAUAAGGACCCCAAGCUCAGCACAGGCCUGAGCCUGUCUGCUCUUGGGCAGGGCAUAAGGCUGAGCCAUCUGAAUGGGGGACAAGGAGACAUGCUGGUGAAACAGAGGUGAUGGGGCAGGAAUCACAA